RNAcentral lists this long non-coding RNA (2316 nucleotides) under Capsicum annuum. RNAcentral's name for it is "long non-coding RNA (CANN_LNC003085)". Lineage: Eukaryota; Viridiplantae; Streptophyta; Magnoliopsida; Solanales; Solanaceae. The record is from RNAcentral.
UCAAUAGCAACACCAUACGUGGUUGCUCUUGAGCUAAAACUUAGCGUAGAAUUUGGAUAUUUUCAAAUACCAAAACCACCACCAAUAAAUAUUAAAAACCAUCUCUACAAUUUUCUCUCAAAAAAAUAUUUUUCUUUUCUCCUCUCUCUUUUUUAUUUAAACCAACCACAACCGUUUUCUUUUUUUUUUGUCUUUUCUCUCCUCUUUUAGUUGAGAAUUAGAAUCUCAUCACCAUCAGAACCAAAAUAAUAUAUCUAUAUACAUGAGGUAUGUGAUUUCACUGGUUUAUAUUCUAUGAUAUUCCUGCCUUCUUUUCUUCUACUUUAUUCUUUUCGUGAUUCAUUGAAAUUUAUCAUAUCUUCUUUGAUGAAAAAUGGUUAUUUAAAUUAAAUAGUUACAAAAUAAAAUCUUGUGUAUAGCAUAUUUUUUCACUUAUUAUUUAUUUAUAAAUUAUUUUUUUAAUUAAAUAAUCGAAGUCAUGACCCUUGAGAUCUUAAACUAAAAAUCCUUGUUGAUCUUGUUGGUGUUGUUCGUAUUGGUGUUGUUGUGUUGGUGUUGGUGUUGAUGUUGGUAUUGGUGGUAUUAGUGUUGGUCUUACAACAGGUGGAAAAUCUGUUAGAAGAUAUUAAAAUAGGUUUUCCAACAGAUUCCCCAUUUGUUGCAACCGAUGAAAUAGCUGAUGGAAUAAAUUAAAAUAGAUCUUCCAACAGAUUCCCCAUUUGUUGAAAUAGAAGAAACAACCGCUGGAAAAAAAUUAAAAUAGAUCUUCCAACAUAUGACUUAUUUAUUUCAAUAGGAUGGUCAUCUGUUAUAAUAGGUGUGUAAUCUGUUACAACAAGGAGGUGGUUUGUUGCAACAUAUGGGUCAUCUGUUGAAAUUAUUAUUGAAAUGUAUUGUAUUUAUUAAAUUUUGUAUUACUUUUUUAGAAUUAUGUAGAGAUCAAUUUUAAUUUUAUUUGUAGAUAAAAGAUGUCUCCCAAAAGAAAGAAAAGUGAAAGUGGGAUCAACUUUUGAUCGACCAACUUAAAAGGUUAGAGUAAAGAUGGGUUCUCAGAGGAAAAAGCUGCUUGCAAAUCGAUGUAUACAAGUACUUCAUAUGUGCGAAGUAUGUGUUACUGAUCAAUUUAUCAUGGAAAACACACAUAAAGUUGAAUGAUUUUGUGAAUGUUGAUUUUUACCAAUUAGGCAUUGAUCAUUAAAAAAAGAUCUUGCCUUUUACAGUUGAGUUUGGUAGGUUCAAACUAAUAAGGCAGAGGAACCUAGAAGGUGGUGUGGAUACCCUGCUAAUCUAAUAAUGAUUUUGCUAAUGUUUAUAUCUAUGUGGGUAGUUUAGAGAAGAGAUAAGUAUUUGAUGGCAGUGUAUAUGUUUAAUAGUGAUAAGACUAGUUUUAAGGGUUCAAUGGAUUGUUGAAAGUCCUCCGAAUCCUUUCACUACAGCAAACAAGAAUAAAAAUUUCAUAAAAAUUAUCCAAGUUCAAAUUUAUAUGGAUGGGUUUCUCGGGGAGAUGAUUAUAGAGCAGAAGGUGUUGUUGGAGAAUACCUGCGAGACAGGAAGGGAGUUGUUGAAGACUAUAUCAUCUCAAACCUUAUUACAGAAGAAACACAAGGUUUGAAAGGAACUCAUCUAAAAUGCACAGUGUAAAAUAUGUUUCGAGGGAUGAUUUUUCCUGAGAAAUUAGAUCCAUUCUUGUUUGCUGCAGUGAGAGAAUUCUGAGGCCUUUCAACAAUCCAUUGAACCCUUAAAAUCAAUCCUAUCACUAUUAAACAUCUACACUGCCAUCAAAUCUUUAUCCCUUCUCCAAACUAAACGCGUAAACAUAAACAUUAGCAAAACCAUCAUUAGACUAUAGCAUGGGACACACACCGCCUUGUAAGUCCCUCAGCCUUAUAAGUUCGGACCUACCAAACUUAACUGUAAAAGGCAAAAUUUUAUUUUAAUGAUCAAUGCCUAAUCAUUAAAAAAUAACAUUCACAAAAUCAUUGUACUUUAUGUGUGUUUGUCACGAAAACCUGAUCAGUAAUACAUACCUCACACAUAUGAAAGUGGAUCCAUCUAUUUUCACAUACCUUAUUCUUUUUACCCCAUCUGUUCUCAUCAAUGACAGCAAUAAAAUAGUGUUUUAUCUUCAGUUCCCAUCAUGAAGUAGUGUACAAUACACGAAAAGGUAGUUUGAUUGAAUCAAAAAAUUAGCUACCUUUUGAAACAGAUAAUUCAUUUGUUGGAAUUUAUCAAACAGACAGGUAAGUUAUUGCAAUAGAUUACAUAUCUAUUGAAAAGAAAUCUAAAAAGGUCUUGCUAGUUGCUUUAUUUAAUCCA